UCCCAGUGGCAAAGAUAAGAGCCCACGUCCUUCCUGCAUCCUGUGGCUGUGCAUUCUCAGCCACAAGAGUCAGCAAGUCCCCUUCCAGAGGGAAGCGAUUUGGACAAUAACAUCUCAGACUGAUGCUGCUAAUCUGGCCUUACCCAAGGUAAUUAUUUGAAAUGACAUUCAAACCAGAGUGGUUUUUCUAGACAUUGAGAUUACUACAUUAUGAGGAAAGUACACAAACUGCUUUCCUCCCCACAUAUCUCUAGUGCAGUCUGAAAAUAGCCCCAAGCAUUUCCAAAUGUGCCUUAAUCUUUUGACAGGGAAGUGGGUGAGGUCAGAAGACGGGGAAGGACUUGACUGCUGUCACGAGGAUGGUGAAAUUGAUGCAUCAAAUAGAGCUGAAUGCUGCUGUAAAGGUUGAAUGACCAGUGUGUAAAUCCAAGACUUCUCCAAAGGAAGAGAAGAGAAGAAAUAGUAAGAGAGAUGGACUCACUGGUCAGUGGACCAAAGAUCUUUGAAUGAUGUCGAUGUUGAACAGGAUUUACUUUGACACCUACUGUUCAUUAUGGCUUAUUUCCACUCCUUUCAGUGUUGAUGACAUUGUGUUGUGUAAACAACUGGAGUUGUUAUCCUGAAAUAAUAAUUUCUGUAUGUGACCCUGAGAAUGUUACAUCUCCAUAUCAGAUCAGACACUCAUUGUGAUUGUGUGAUAUGUCCAUCCCACCAUCAGUGCUCUCCUAUGCCUGGAGAUGACGUUCUGACUUUGCACAUCUGCUGCUGAUUGUUCAUUCAUACAUGAAUCCCAAGGAAGCAGAACGGUAAAAUAGUGACCAAGCAUAUGUUUAACUUCCAUUUUGGAGUCUUGGCUUUCUGGGAUUGAAAUCUUGAGAUAAAACACGUGGGUUUCUAUUGUGUCUCUAGGGAUGCAAAGUUAUAGUCCUGUAGAAUACGUAUUGUGUAUAAUGCAAAGUUGUUAUUUCUCCAUUAGUGAGGCUGGUGCUGGAGUUGGCUGUUAGCGUGUCAUUCUUCUGACACAUCAUUAAUAAACAGGUAAUUUCAUACCUGAUUUCCA
RNAcentral lists this long non-coding RNA (1060 nucleotides) under Phasianus colchicus (ring-necked pheasant). Its description in RNAcentral is "lncRNA (ENSPCLG00000009027.1)". The record is from RNAcentral. Lineage: Eukaryota; Metazoa; Chordata; Aves; Galliformes; Phasianidae.